RNAcentral lists this ribosomal RNA (467 nucleotides) under uncultured bacterium. Its description in RNAcentral is "partial 16S ribosomal RNA". It matches the Rfam family "Bacterial small subunit ribosomal RNA", at positions 28 to 506 of the family's 1533-position model. The record is from RNAcentral.
GACGAACGCUGGCGGCGUGCUUAACACAUGCAAGUCGAACGGAAAGGCCCUGCUUUUGUGGGGUGCUCGAGUGGCGAACGGGUGAGUAACACGUGAGUAACCUGCCCUUGACUUUGGGAUAACUUCAGGAAACUGGGGCUAAUACCGGAUAGGAGCUCCUGCUGCAUGGUGGGGGUUGGAAAGUUUCGGCGGUUGGGGAUGGACUCGCGGCUUAUCAGCUUGUUGGUGGGGUAGUGGCUUACCAAGGCUUUGACGGGUAGCCGGCCUGAGAGGGUGACCGGCCACAUUGGGACUGAGAUACGGCCCAGACUCCUACGGGAGGCAGCAGUGGGGAAUAUGGCACAAUGGGCGGAAGCCGGAGGCAGCAACGCCGCGUGCGGGAUGACGGCCUUCGGGUUGUAAACCGCUUUCGCCUGUGACGAAGCGUGAGUGAAGGUAAUGGGGAAAGAAGCACCGGCUAACUACGU